Molecule: long non-coding RNA, 9366 nt
Organism: Acanthochromis polyacanthus (spiny chromis)
Lineage: Eukaryota; Metazoa; Chordata; Actinopteri; Pomacentridae
Exons: 3
Source: RefSeq, a predicted model, not a curated record
UCUUCUUUUCUAACUUCUCCUCUUACCCUUCAGUCGGUUCCCUCCGUCUCUUUGUGACUCUGUCUCACCAUUGUAACACAGGCCACAGCACAAUCUCAUUCUGUUCUCCUUGUUGGUGGCAACACAGUGGGAUAUAUCCACACAAAUUACACACAUAAAACUCGUAAAGCCUGGAAAAUAUUUUAAUAGUUUCCGCACCCCCUUAGUGGCAACAAGCUGCAUGUGCAGAGCUGGUGAGCACCACCAACAUUAUUGGUGCAAUUAAAUGUGAAGCACGAGUGAGGAACAUGGGGGAGUGGGAGCCCAAAAUGGCUGUAAACAAGGAAAAUGACACUUGACAAGUUGUAAUUUAUGGACGUCGUUUCAAAGGGAAGAGACUCACCGUUCCUACACUGGCAGAGUAGGGAAGAAUAAGGCACAAGGAUCCAGGCAUUAGAGAAACUAUUCACAGAAUGUUAGUGCAUCAAAGCCACACAGAGACAAAAAAGGGGAAAGAGAAAGCUGUGACUUCAAAGUCAAGGCAUGAUGAGCAAUGCAGGGAGAGAGGGAAACCGAGAGAGAGACAGGAAGUGUGUGUAUAUGUGUGUCAGAGGGAGGGAGAGAGAGAGAGAGAGAGAGAGAGAGAGAGAGAGAGAGAGAGAGAGAGCUUUGCAGGAUGAUAGCACCCAAAGCAAGCACAGGAUGGGGGAAUGAGGUGGGGGGAGGCCCCUGGAUACAGACGUACUCUCCUCAUCUCAAAGAAUCCUAAAUCAUACACUCACACACUCACAGGCUGUCUGGGGAGGAGACGCCAUUAAACAGAAUAGAAAAGGACUUAAGCUCUCAUACUCCAACCCCAUCUAGAAACAAAUCAGCGUCACCAUUUACGUGUUUACUAUUUUCCCAAAAUGAGAACAAAACUGAACCAAAACAGUCACUGAAAAUAGGCUUGCUACAAAAACUGAAGAUGCUCUCAUGCUUGAUGAAAACGUCCAAUGUAUCCUUCAACAACAGCAGUCAAAGUCAGAUGUGUAUUGUGAUAGUUAGACUUGUGUGUAUGUGUGUUUACUAAUAAAUGCAAAUAUACUACCUGAACAAAGUCAAUAUGCCUACUAUUCCUCUAGCUUAGAGGAUCAUAUAAGUUGUUUGUGGCUACCCUCUAAUACAAUCCAUAGGCAUAUACUGAUGGCACAGUUGAAUAAUGAAUGAUUAACCCUUUUAUGAUGUGACUUGUGUUGUUUGUUGUGAAUGUUUGUUCAGGUUUGGGCAUAUCAUGGUUUGGGUUCAACUUUAACGUUAAACUUUAGUAUCAGUUUCACUAAGGUUGCAGAGUCUUUGUUGUCAUCAUUUCAUUAAAAUGAUAAACAUGGAGUUUCAGGUUAUGGAAUUAAAUUACAGAUUUAGUUUUAUUACCAUUGCACACGUGCUAAGACAGCAAAAUGCAAUUUAGCAUCUAAGCAGAAGCAGAAAAAAGACAGUAAAGCGUAUUAUAAGCAGUAUGAGUAUAUACAUAUUACAGUAUUAACAGAAUGGACAAUAAAUGUUGAUUUUAAAUGGAAAUCAAUGGUAAAUUGUACAUUCCACAAGCUUUGCCUUUUUUCCCAGCAACAUUUUCCAACAUGUACUGAGACUGUUGUGUAACCCCACACUGCGCACUUGCCCAGAUGUCACUCUGUACAGUACGGAAGUGUGGGUUCCUGGUCUUCUUCUAGUCAUCUAGCGUACAUUGUUAAAGUCACAUGUAUUGCUGACCCAUCCAUCCACCCCGACCCACUCACUACUGUGGACUUUUGACAUCAUGUCCCUUGCUCGCUUGGUCCCAUCAUAUUUAAUGUGACCACCAGAAGCCCUUGUCAUGUAAGUAAACAGGUGAUGCUUAACAAUAAAACAUAAUGAUUUGUGGUAAUAAACUGUGUGCAUAUGCAAUGUAUAGAGUUUUGUUUUAAGGGAAGACUGUCUCCAACAUACAGAAUACCAGUGUACGUUGUUGCUAAAUUUGUGCCAACAUGGUGUUUUGAAACGUCUGGUUAAUAUUUUUGUAUUAUAAAUGAUGUUAUAAGAACAUUCCAGGACAUUCUGAUGUUUAUUCAGUGUUAAAUCUGAAUCAGUGAGCCCCCCAUUUAAACUUUUGCAUGACAAAAAGGUUUCUUAGAAUUCAUCUUAAAGUAAGAUGCCAUUUUUAACCAUUUAAUGAUGAUUAGAGUCCUUUUUCUGCACAGCACCCAAGCCCACUAUUCAACAGCUCGUCAUUUUCUUAUCUGCUUUUCAAGAAUUACAUUCAAAACCAAACGAAUAAAAGGAUCUAAUGCAUGCAGAGCGCAGUAAGAUUAUUCUUCAAAGUUGGACCUGCCAAAGGCAUUGAACAGUAAAAUUGUUUAAUUUUAGAAAACUGCAGUCACUUUACUUAAAAGAGCUGCCUGUCUCAUAUGUGAGUCAUUUGUUUGCACAGAAUUCCACACUGGACUAAAGGAAGCAAAGGAGAUUAACGAAAAUCUGAGAGUCUUCACAGCAGAAAUGGAAGACCCUUUGCCACAUAAAUACAGAAGUUAAAUUUGCAGUGUUGAUAUCCUGUAAUUUUCAAAAUGACAAAAUGCUUGUCUGAUGCACUAAGCACCUCCAAUUGCAGCUCAUUAACUCAGUCAGGGGGAAGCAUUCUACAAGCAUGGAGAGAAACUAUUAAAAUACUUCCAUUAACUGGAAGAAUAAAUAUCCUGGUUGCAGCCCAAAAGUGUCUUCAUUUAGGCUCAAAUGUGAGAUAUGCCGUUGCUAUGGUAAUAUGGCGAUGGCUGUAGCCCUCCUCCCAGCUGUUGGUGGGUUUUGUGUGUGAGGGAGCGAGAGUAAAAGAAAGAGGGAGACUGUGUGACUGUGUGUUUGUGUGCGUGCACACAUGCAUUGAUGCUGCCUCCGUGCUGUGUUCCCCCUUUCAGUCUUCAGAAUAGUGUCUCUACUAAUCCGUGAAAGUUGCGGCGCUCUGAACCAGUGGCCAAUCCUUUUCCCACUGAACCAAGGCCCAGGGUCUGCGCUCUGCUUCACACUUGAUUGGUCCCUCCUGUGGCAGAACUCCCCUCCCUGCUGGGCGUGGGCCCGUCCCCCUCGCUGGGCUGCUCAGCGCUGCCUAAUCGCCUUCUCCCCACCAUAAUUACCAGCGCUGAGCCCAGGACUCACCAACACACACAAUUAAAGUCUGGCCAGCCCAUCCUCACCAGCCCUCACACAUCCAGCACUUAGCACCGGCCCAGAGACAGGCCUAAGACCAGGCCCAACUCCACCAACAGAGCACCUGUUCAUGCCUGGGAUGCCCCGCAGCACUGUGGACUUGGCUGGUGCUGCUGGUGGGUAGGAUAAAGAGAGGGAGUUGGCAGCUGUGCUGUUGUCCUCCUCCCCCUGCAGUGGAGGUGAUGUGUUUAUUUGGGCUGGGAUGCUGCAGUGAGAAGCUGUGAGAGGUAACUAUCUCCUUGUUGUGCUGUAUAGAGUACCAGAGAAUCCACCCUGCAGAGUCAGAGCCCUUUGAUAUGUGACCACUUCAAACCAACACAUACAAUGGAAGCAGUCAGUUGUGGAAAUAGCCCAAGUUGAUGUUGUGUGGGCAAGGUGAGACAAAUUUGCUUUGCUCAGAACCAACCCUGUACUUCAUUUUUCUCCUCUGUGUAUUUUGAGCAAAGCAAAUACAACACUUAUUGUAAAUCCCAAACAUUGACAAUCCUGCAAUGUGUGUAAAAUCAGAAAUGGAAAUACUCCCACUUUCAAUUUGGUUGUGCCCACAAGGUUCCUAAAUUUCAGACUAUUGCACCAUUGGUGAGAGCAUAUGGGACUGGGCAGGUGAAACGCAGUGACCUGGCAAACAGUCCAAAGACAGAUGAGAGUCGGGUACACGUCAGAAGGCACUGGGUGUGCUGGCACAAGCAGUACCCAGAAUGUGGAUCAGACAGACACCCAGCACUCGUUAGCUUAUUACUCUCUUAUUAGGAACAUUUUUGCCUUGCAUGGAUUGGCAGAGUCCUGCUAGCCACCCUCUUCACAUGGCCCAGGCUCUGUCAGAGCUGAUCAAAAGACAUUUCUUCACAUCUCCAGACGCCAGGGAAAAAAAGAGAAGAAAAGAGGGAGAGAAGAAAAGAGCCAGAAGGGGGCAUACUGCUCUCUCUUUACUCUGGUCUUUUAGUGAAUGAGGACUUUUCACAAUACCUUCUCCUUUUUCUUUUUUUUUUAUUUUCCACUGGCAAAAGAGAGAGAGAGAAAGAGAGAGAGAGAGAAAGAAAAAACAGCAUUUCCCAUCGCGUUUCGCCAAAUUGUUCUUGCCAUAUCAAAAACAAUUAUCCUCAGGUGAAGAAUGCGCCUGCAGAAUUACAACCAUUCCAGAGGGAGAAAGAGGUCUUCACAAAUCUGACUGGCUUCCAGGCAGCCAAGACCCCCUCGAAGUGGUAAUGAAAAGUGUAACUUUAGCCUCCCAGCUGUACGUCUCAAUCCAUAAUCCUUCCCCAAAAACCUCACCGUAGAGCCGCCUACCACUCCCAUGGUGUUCCCAGCCUGUGCCGGGCUGGGCCUGCACUGAUUUAUGUGGCAGUCCUGUGUCAUACUCUCAACCUGAAAAGGAUUUGCUCUCCUAUAUUUACCAGGGUGGUAAGGGCAGCCCUCUGGAAACACAGAAAGCCCAGACUCCGGGCCUCACUCCCAGACAGUCGUUUCACAACUCUGUGCCAAUAACGUGGACAUUUUGGACCUUACCAGAAUCAGAUGAGGCUCCAGUGUUUCCAUAGCGGGGUGUUUUAGCAGUGCAGAGGUCACAGUCGACGCACUCGCGCCUACGCAGCCACAUGGCCACGUUUUGGUAUGCAGAUACACAGACACAGGCUGAAGGAGAUCUCAGGGAGGAGCUGUGCCGGCUCCAUGUCCUUAACCUGUUUGCAGAAGGGCAACGGAGGGUGGAGAGAAGGGAAAGGCAACAUACCCUUCGUCCGAAAUGGAACACCAGGUGGCAGGAAGUGGGCAGGAGGCCUUUGAAGCUGACCCCUGGUCUCCGCGUUGGGAUGGCCUCGGCAAUCGAUUCAGCCAGAGAUGGCAGGGAGGGGAGCCAGGUGCCCCCAGAGGGUCUUCAGACCACGCAGAUCUAUUAUGGGCGAGGAGGAGAGAGUCGGCUGGGGCCCAGCCCCACUGCUCCCAGUCAUAUCACUGUGGAGACAGCCAGAGUCAACUGGCUGCAUCCUAACAAGCAGGCAAACACUGAGAACAGUCUGGUGCACAACAAACUCAACAGGCUCAGCCUCCAUACUGUAAGCUUUAGGAAGGGCUUCCACUGCAGACUGCUGUCAUAUCUGUAUAUAAAACAUUGCAUAACACUGAAUAAUUGGUGUGAGCCCAUACAUGCUAGCAUGCUACGUCUGACAAAUUGAACGCAUGGAGGUCAGUGAAGAGCAUUUGAAAAGGAAAGAAUGAGACACACAGAAAUGAGCUUGUUCCGUAUAUUAAUAUAUUUAUUUUCUUACAGAAUACAACCACAGAUUGCAGUUGAGUGACUUGAGAAACUGUGGUGCAGAAGUUGUGGGCUGAAAUGAUAAAUCAACAAGAAAAACAAGAUUCAAUAAUACCACAUAACAGAAAGAGCGAGGAAUCAUCAAAAAAGGGACACGAACAAAAAGAAAGCACAAAAGCAGAAAAUUAAAUCAGCAGAUGUUUGUGUGCAAGCGUGCACACGUGAUUGUGGCGAGCUGCUAAGUGAUCUGGUAAAUUGCCAACAUUACACUGAAUUUGUCAGAAAGAAAAUAUCAGCAAAUACUGAACAGCCAUUGUAUGUUUUGGGAUAGUUUUGCCAGUUAACGCUAACGCAAAAACAUCCAGUGAUAAUGCUGUAACAAUUCAGGAAUCAGUAGGUAGAUCUGCACGUCUAUGAAUCAGGCUUCCCAUUCACAGUGUUCAUCUAGGGCAGCUCCAGAAAUGCGCAGGCUGCUUUGUAUUUUGGCCAGCUUUGGAGGAGGUGAGUGCUAUCAGUGUCUACAUGCUCAUCCCUCUGUAUUUCUGUGUUUACUGCUCACAACAUGUAAGCAAACACACAUGUGCACACACAAUUAAACUCACAAACAGAAACUCAAAUCCUGAUCCCCCACCCUCUCCAUGCUUCCCUCCCCGGGCAAGGAAAUGAAAGCUGGGCACUGGGAGAAGGAUGGCUGGAAGAAAUGAAGACGUGUCUGAUUUCCUCAGCAACCAAUGAUGCUGCAGCGCUCUGUACUCUCUGCCCUCUGAUAGGUCUUUGUCACUCUCUUCAUCUUGAGGCCCAUGUCAUUCCCUCUAAUCCCCCUCCCAAACACAAACAGGCCAAUCCUGAGACAAGACUCAGGGGCUGGGGAGGGAUGAAGCAGCACUGGAAAGAGUGAGGGAUGUAGCUCAGGAGGAGAGAAAGGGAGCACCAGAAGCUGAUGGUGGUGUGAGAAGGAGCCAAUGUGUUAUUAUUAAUAAAGCAUUAAAAAAGUGAGCACAUCAAAGCAUACAGGGGCUAUGCUAUCAUACAUGAAAGUAACGCACUAUGGCUUAAUGUUUCCUAAGGCAUGUUAUGGUGACGCGGCUUUGAUUUGAAAUGCAUUGUGUGGAAAAUGGAUUUACAGGAGUGGGGAGAGAAAGCCUGGUGUGGGAUCAGACCAUAAUUUAAAACCUGACCUCAUAUGCUCUUCAAAGUGUCUGCGAGCGUGGAUAUUUAGGACGUCCUUACAGUAUGUGUGAGAGACCCAAAGCACAACAACAUAAACAACAAACGACACACACAUGCAUGUAAGGGAUGCGGAGAACACCUGCAAAAACAAAGAAUGAGAAGUUACUGUUAAAUCCAACAUGUACCAUUUCACGUUUUGAUUAUCAAAGAUGAUUGGAAGUAAUUUGUCUUUAUUCUCUCCUUUUUGAGCGCACAGGGGUCGCACCUGAUUGUACCGUGCUCCUUCACCAAUCAAAGCCUGCAGGAAGUGAGGCAUUUUUUUUCUCCAUUGAGCCCCCAUGGCCAGGUAAUUAUCCUAAUCUACCUUCCCUCUGUGCUCCAGCUCCUGUGCCACACUAACUCAGACCACCUCUGUGGCUUCAUUAUCAGGGCUGGGACUCACUAAUGGCUUGGCGGCCUCACUGUGCAGGCUGCUGGCGAAGAGAAACCAGGGUGAAAAGGAAGAAGAAGAAGAAGAAGCAGGAGGAGGAGAACGGGGAAGAGAGGGAGGAAAAAUGAGUCGCUAAAGAGCAAGGGGUUGCCCUGAAGGUUAACAUCUCAAUCAUGAGGGACAAUGCUCUGUAGUCAAAUGGUUUCGGCUUCUUGAAAGUCAAGAUGAAGCCACAGGGCACAACAGUGUCAAAGAGGCAGCCAGGAGAUGGGCUCUCUGCACCGCAGGAUGACCAGGACAUGUGUGUUUGAGGUGGCAGGUUGCUGUGUUUACGUGUGCACGCCACACACACCCCCACCUUGCGUGUUUGAAACAGCUAUAACCUCACAACAUACAGAAGGACUGGGGGUGGGAUAUCAGUUUCAGUUUAUUUUUUCUGACAAAUGACACUCUGACAGUUGGAAAAAAUGUUGGGGUCCCUGAACAGAUUUCCCAGUUACAAAAAUAAAAUGUGUUGGAUCAGACAAAGACAGACAUUUUACAUUCUACUUUUGAACCCCAAUGAGAGCACUGGCAAAUGCCACCCCACCCCCACGCCGUCUGUGCCAUGAUUGUUGUUUCUCUCCAGAAAUGUCAUAUAGUUAAGAGGUGAUAAUUCUAUAUGGCGCAAACAGACACUGACUUCUUCCAAGUGUACAUAGCAUAUAGGCUGACAGAUUGAGAUGGUGUAACAUGUCUUUGCAUCACUCUAAAUAGGCAUGCGAGCUUUAAACAUUCUGUAUAUACUCUGAGUUUCCAUUGGAAACCUUCUGAAAUGGAAAAAAACAACCCAAAUGCAUUGCACUAGAGGUGAAAAAAAAAUGUUCAGAGGUUAAAAAUAGCGCAGACCUCAGUGAUACGUGAAAAACUGUAGUACUCUUAUGUCUGUGCAGGUGUAGCCUACAUUCCAGAAAACUCCCGAAAUGCAGAAAACUGCAUUGAUACACAUCGUACUGAAUCCCCCGAGGGUUGAUGUUAACGCGGAGCCUGCAGUGCAACAGAUCCUAUGUUAAAUGCACAUUUAAAGAAACGCUGAUGUCAAUUUCUAUAAAUGUUAAGAUGCAUUUUUUUGCUUCCAACAGUUUAAUGAGAAACUUUUGUCAGAUUUAUGUCACGUCAACACUUGACUUUAGCGCGUUUCAGAGUCCUUACGUUUUAAGUCAGGUUAAACAUGAAAUGCAAAACUUAAUUGUAGCUGCUGCUUUGGUGAUUUACUCUGUUAUUAUGAAGAAUUGUACGUACGCGAGUGUAGGUGGCUUUUUACCACUCAAAUAAGACACACUCUUCGGAAACACCUCCACAUUGAAACAUCCUCUUUCACAGACGAAAAUGAAGCUAUGCUCUUUUGCAGACUGGUAGUAGUGUGACUGGAGCCAAAUGAUCUGCAAAUGAGGAGAAACGUUUAAGUAGCUCAGGGGACUGCAGAAAGUCAACCAUGAAACACGUGGUUCUUCCAAAGCAGGGUAAAAAUUAAUACUGGUGCUCAAAAAUACCUAAAAAUUGAAAUAUAACUGGAAAAUAGAAGGUCAAAAUACAGUGAGUGGAUUUGAGUGAAUGGGUCAGUGCAACUAAAUUACUUUAUUAUCUUCUCACUAACAUAAAUCUGAACAUACAGAGAGUUGGGGUUUUGUUAUUCAGUAUUUAGAUAUUUCUGUCUCCACCACUACACAAGUUCUUUCGCUUAAAUAUUCACUGAGAGGUCUGUUCAAGAACCAGUGUAACAAGAACAUAAUUUCUGUUCAACGAUUUGGGUGAAAGGACUGUUUAAAGCUCAAGUAGGCUCUUUUCCCAUAAUAACCUGUCAGGAUAUUGGAACUCAAGUAGUCUCAGAGAGAAUUAUGAGCUUCCUCUUUGUUAUUUCGAAAAUCUAACCUGAAAUGUAAAUCACAGGGCGUUUUAUGCAGAUCAUUUGAGAAAGAAUAAAGAGCAACAAGUCUCCAGUGGAAAAAGGAGGUGUGGUGCAAUGGGACAAACAGAGGGAUCAAAACCUGAUACAAGCUAAAGGUGAAUAUAAGGCCCACUACUUUUGGGUAUUUCGAGCUAACCAGGGCUGCUUGUUAUUUCGUUGUUGUUUUUUGUUGAUCAGAGCUUUCCAGAUUACUGCCAACUGCAGCUUUAAGACAUGGUUUGCAUGAUGGCAGCAAGAACUCAAGAAGUAACGUAACCUGGAUGAAGAACUUGCCCGAAUCACUUCACAUUAAAAGUAACAUCAACAUAAAUUAAAAUGAUGGUAAGAAAGUGUAUUAAACGGUAGAAGAGGCAUUAAAAUUAGUGUAAAUCA